UACAGAGGGUGCGAGCGUUGUUCGGAAUUAUUGGGCGUAAAGAGCGUGUAGGCGGCGUCGCAAGUCGGGUGUGAAAGCCCACGGCUCAACCGUGGAAGUGCGCCCGAAACUGCGGUGCUGGAGUGCCGGAGAGGAUGGCGGAAUUCCGGGUGUAGAGGUGAAAUUCGUAGAUAUCCGGAGGAACACCGGUGGCGAAGGCGGCCAUCUGGACGGACACUGACGCUGAGACGCGAGAGCGUGGGUAGCAAAC
This 250-nucleotide ribosomal RNA is filed under the name uncultured prokaryote. Its description in RNAcentral is "partial 16S ribosomal RNA". It matches the Rfam family "Bacterial small subunit ribosomal RNA", at positions 524 to 773 of the family's 1533-position model. The record is from RNAcentral.